GCCGGUGUGGCGGAAUUGGUAGACGCGGCAGACUCAAAAUCUGUUUCUGGCAACAGAGUGGGGGUUCGAUUCCCUCCACCGGCA
RNAcentral lists this transfer RNA (84 nucleotides) under Tahibacter aquaticus. Its description in RNAcentral is "Dokdonella sp. PYM5-11 tRNA". It matches the Rfam family "tRNA". From Rfam's summary of the family: Transfer RNA (tRNA) molecules are approximately 80 nucleotides in length. Lineage: Bacteria; Pseudomonadati; Pseudomonadota; Gammaproteobacteria; Lysobacterales; Rhodanobacteraceae. The record is from Rfam by way of RNAcentral.